Molecule: ribosomal RNA, 292 nt
Filed under: uncultured bacterium
Lineage: Bacteria
Description: partial 16S ribosomal RNA
Rfam family: Bacterial small subunit ribosomal RNA
Source: RNAcentral
GUGCCAGCCGCCGCGGUAAUACGGAGGGUGCAAGCGUUAAUCGGAACUACUGGGCGUAAAGCGCGCGUAGGCGGCGUGAUAAGCCGGUUGUGAAAGCCCCGGGCUCAACCUGGGAACGGCAUCCGGAACUGUCAGGCUAGAGUGCAGGAGAGGAAGGUAGAAUUCCCGGUGUAGCGGUGAAAUGCGUAGAGAUCGGGAGGAAUACCAGUGGCGAAGGCGGCCUUCUGGACUGACACUGACGCUGGGGUGCGAAAGCGUGGGUAGCAAACAGGAUUAGAAACCCGAGUAGUCC